Molecule: ribosomal RNA, 497 nt
Filed under: uncultured bacterium
Lineage: Bacteria
Description: bacterial SSU rRNA
Rfam family: Bacterial small subunit ribosomal RNA
Source: RNAcentral
GAUGAACGCUGGCGGCGUGCCUAACACAUGCAAGUCGAACGGAGAUACGAUGUGAGCGAGAGGUGCUUGCACUGAUUAAUCUUUUCGUAUCUUAGUGGCGGACGGGUGAGUAACGCGUGGGUAACCUGCCUUAUACCGGGGGAUAACACUUAGAAAUAGGUGCUAAUACCGCAUAAGCGCACGGUGUCGCAUGACACAGUGUGAAAAACUCCGGUGGUAUAAGAUGGACCCGCGUCUGAUUAGCCAGUUGGCAGGGUAACGGCCCACCAAGGCGACGAUCGGUAGCCGGACUGAGAGGUUGAACGGCCACAUUGGGACUGAGACACGGCCCAGACUCCUACGGGAGGCAGCAGUGGGGAAUAUUGGGCAAUGGGCGAGAGCCUGAACCAGCCAAGUAGCGUGAAGGAUGAAGGUUCUAUGGAUUGUAAACUUCUUUUAUAAGGGAAUAACAGACGUUACGUGUAGCGUUUUGCAUGUACCUUAUGAAUAAGCAUCGG